AGUUUAAUGAGUUGUAUAUUAAAUAUUUUCUGCUCAAUGAUUAUUAAUUAAUUAAAUUGCCGCAGUACUUUGACUGUGCUAAGGUAGCAUAAUAAUUUGGCCUAUAAUUGAGGUCUAGAAUGAAAGGAAGCACUUGUAAGUAACUGUCUCAUUCAAAGCUGAUUUGAAAUUUUUUAUUAGGUGAAAAUACCUAAAUAAGUAUAUUAGACGAGAAGACCCUUAGAGUUUUUAUUAUUAUUUCCAUAAUAUUUUUGUUGGGGCAACAAAGGAACAUAAGAUCUUCCUAAAUACUUGUAAUAACAUGCCGAGUUUAUAUUAUGAUUGAUUAAACUACCUAAGGGAUAACAGCAUUAUCUUUAAUAAGGAUUGUGACCUCGAUGUUGGAUUAGGUAAACUUGAUAUAAGCAAUAUCAUUUAAAGGUUCUGUUCGAACUUAUGCACCU
Molecule: ribosomal RNA, 443 nt
Filed under: Corilla humberti
Lineage: Eukaryota; Metazoa; Mollusca; Gastropoda; Stylommatophora; Corillidae
Description: partial 16S ribosomal RNA
Rfam family: Archaeal large subunit ribosomal RNA
Source: RNAcentral